RNAcentral lists this ribosomal RNA (2315 nucleotides) under metagenome. RNAcentral describes it as "bacterial LSU rRNA". It matches the Rfam family "Bacterial large subunit ribosomal RNA", at positions 502 to 2841 of the family's 2925-position model. The record is from RNAcentral.
UGUGAAGGAAAGGUGAAAAGGACCCCGGGAGGGGAGUGAAAGAGAACCUGAAACCUUGUGCUUACAAACAGUCAAAGGCCUACGGGCUGAUGGCGUACUUUUUGUAGAACGGUCCGGCGAGUUACUAAUGCCAGCGAGGUUAAGUGGUCAGAAGCCACGGAGCCGAAGGGAAACCAAGUCUGAAUAGGGCGUAGAGUUGGUAUUAGUAGACCCGAAACCGGGUGACCUAUCCAUGUCCAGGUUGAAGGAACCGUAAAAGGUUUUGGAGGACCGAACACACAUGUGUUGAAAAACGUGGUGAUGAGGUGUGGAUAGCGGAGAAAUUCCAAUCGAACUCGGAGAUAGCUGGUUCUCCUCGAAAUAGCUUUAGGGCUAGCCUCGAGCUGGAGUCUAACGGAGGUAAAGCACUGAACUGACGCGGGGCCCAAAAAGGUUACCAACUCAUAUCAAACUAAGAAUGCCGUCAAGAUACCCUCGGGAGUCAGUCUGCGUGAGAUAAGUCGCGUGGACAAAAGGGAAAGAGCCCAGACCGACAGCUAAGGUCCCAAAGUAUGUGUUAAGUGGAAAAGGAUGUGGGAUUUCGAAGACAACUAGGAUGUUGGCUUAGAAGCAGCCAUACAUUUAAAGAGUGCGUAAUAGCUCACUAGUCGAGAAAACCUGCGCCGAAAAUGUAACGGGGCUAAAACACGACACCGAAGCUACGGAUUCCUUACUAAGUAAGGAGUGGUAGAGGAGCAUCCUGCAAGGACGAAGCCAAAGUGAGAGCGAUGGUGGACGAAACAGGAGAGAGAAUGCCGGAAUGAGUAGCGAGAUACAUGUGAGAAACAUGUAGGCCGAAUAUCUAAGGAUUCCUGGGUAAAGCUAAUCUUCCCAGGGUUAGUCGGGGCCUAAGGCGAGGACGAGAGUCGUAGUCGAUGGAUAACAGGUUGAUAUUCCUGUACUACACAUAAUCAGAACUGUGGGGACGCAGGAGGAUAGGGAAACCGGGGAAUGGAAAGACCCGGUCAAGCGCAAAGCUGUGGGAGAUAGGUAAAUCCGUCUCCUGUAAGUGAAGCGUGAUGAGGACUGAAAAAAAGUAAGGAAGUUUCCGAAUCCACACUGCCGAGAAAAGCCGCUAUUGCGUUAUGUGUACCCGUACCGUAAACCGACACAGGUAGAUGAGGAGAAAAUCCACAGGCCGACGGGAGAAGUGUUGUUAAGGAACUCGGCAAAAUGACCCCGUAACUUCGGGAUAAGGGGAGCCUCGCAAGAGGCCGCAGAAAAGAGGCACAAGCAACUGUUUAGCAAAAACAUAGGUCUAUGCGAAACCGUAAGGUGAAGUAUAUGGGCUGACGCCUGCCCGGUGCUGGAAGGUUAAAAGGAGAGGUCAGCGCAAGCGAAGCUUUGAAUUCAAGCCCCAGUAAACGGCGGCCGUAACUAUAACGGUCCUAAGGUAGCGAAAUUCCUUGUCAGGUAAGUUCUGACCCGCACGAAAGGCGUAAUGAUUUGUGCACUGUCUCGACAACACGCCCGGUGAAAUUGAAGAACCAGUGAAGAUACUGGUUACCCGCAACAGGACGGAAAGACCCCAUGGAGCUUUACUGCAGCCUGAUACUGGGAUUCGAUGAUAUAUGUACAGGAUAGGUGGGAGGCUAAGAAGCGAGAACGCUAGUUUUCGUGGAGCCGCCGGUGGGAUACCACUCUUAUGUCAUUGGAUUUCUAACCUGCAUCCGUAAUCCGGAUGAGGGACAAUGUCAGGCGGGCAGUUUGACUGGGGCGGUCGCCUCCUAAAAGGUAACGGAGGCGCUCGAAGGUCACCUCAGAAUGAUUGGAAACCAUUCAAAGAGUGUAAAGGCAAAAGGUGGCUUGACUGCGAGAGCGACGGCUCGAGCAGGUACGAAAGUAGGACUUAGUGAUCCGGUGGUAAUAAGUGGGAAUGCCAUCGCUCAACGGAUAAAAGCUACCCUGGGGAUAACAGGCUUAUCACUCCCAAGAGUUCACAUCGACGGAGUGGUUUGGCACCUCGAUGUCGGCUCAUCGCAUCCUGGGGCUGAAGUAGGUCCCAAGGGUUGGGCUGUUCGCCCAUUAAAGCGGUACGCGAGCUGGGUUCAGAACGUCGUGAGACAGUUCGGUCCCUAUCCGGCGUGGGCGUAGGAUAUUUGAGAGGAGCUGCCCUUAGUACGAGAGGACCGGGGUGGACUGGCCGCUGGUGUAUCUGUUGCACUGCCAAGUGCAUGGCAGAGUAGCCAAGCCGGGACGGGAUAAACGCUGAAGGCAUCUAAGCGUGAAGCCCCCCUCAAGAUGAGAUAUCCCAUCGCAAGAGUAAGACCCCUUGA